RNAcentral lists this ribosomal RNA (670 nucleotides) under Pseudarthrobacter phenanthrenivorans. RNAcentral's name for it is "bacterial SSU rRNA". It matches the Rfam family "Bacterial small subunit ribosomal RNA", at positions 97 to 781 of the family's 1533-position model. Lineage: Bacteria; Bacillati; Actinomycetota; Actinomycetes; Micrococcales; Micrococcaceae. The record is from RNAcentral.
GGCGAACGGGUGAGUAACACGUGAGUUACCUGCCCUUGACUCUGGGAUAAGCCUGGGAAACUGGGUCUAAUACCGGAUAUGACCUUCCAUCGCAUGGUGGUUGGUGGAAAGCUUUUGUGGUUUUGGAUGGACUCGCGGCCUAUCAGCUUGUUGGUGAGGUAAUGGCUUACCAAGGCGACGACGGGUAGCCGGCCUGAGAGGGUGACCGGCCACACUGGGACUGAGACACGGCCCAGACUCCUACGGGAGGCAGCAGUGGGGAAUAUUGCACAAUGGGCGCAAGCCUGAUGCAGCGACGCCGCGUGAGGGAUGACGGCCUUCGGGUUGUAAACCUCUUUCAGUAGGGAAGAAGCGAAAGUGACGGUACCUGCAGAAGAAGCGCCGGCUAACUACGUGCCAGCAGCCGCGGUAAUACGUAGGGCGCAAGCGUUAUCCGGAAUUAUUGGGCGUAAAGAGCUCGUAGGCGGUUUGUCGCGUCUGCCGUGAAAGUCCGGGGCUCAACUCCGGAUCUGCGGUGGGUACGGGCAGACUAGAGUGAUGUAGGGGAGACUGGAAUUCCUGGUGUAGCGGUGAAAUGCGCAGAUAUCAGGAGGAACACCGAUGGCGAAGGCAGGUCUCUGGGCAUUAACUGACGCUGAGGAGCGAAAGCAUGGGGAGCGAACAGGAUUAG